GAUGAAGAACGUAGCGAAAUGCGAUAAGUAAUGUGAAUUGCAGAAUUCAGUGAAUCAUCGAAUCUUUGAACGCACAUUGCGCCCGCCAGUAUUCUGGCGGGCAUGCCUGUUCGAGCGUCAUUUCAACCAUCAAGCCCCAGGCUUGUGUUGGGGACCUGCGGCUGCCGCAGGCCAUGAAAACCAGUGGCGGGCUCGCUGUCACACCGGGCGUAGUAGAUUUUAUCUCGCUCAGGGCGUGCUGCGGGUUCCGGCCGUUAAAAAGCCUUUUUUACCCAAGGUUGACCUCGGAUCAGGUAGGAAUACCCGCUGAACUUAAGCAUAUCAAUAAGCGGAGGA
This 336-nucleotide unclassified non-coding RNA is filed under the name soil metagenome. RNAcentral describes it as "partial contains 5.8S ribosomal RNA, internal transcribed spacer 2, and large subunit ribosomal RNA". The stretch from base 1 to 120 matches the Rfam family "5.8S ribosomal RNA", at positions 35 to 154 of the family's 154-position model. The record is from RNAcentral.